Molecule: ribosomal RNA, 498 nt
Filed under: uncultured bacterium
Lineage: Bacteria
Description: partial 16S ribosomal RNA
Rfam family: Bacterial small subunit ribosomal RNA
Source: RNAcentral
GACGAACGCUGGCGGCGUGCCUAAUACAUGCAAGUCGAACGAGAGCACCCGGUGCUUGCACUGGUCAAUCUAGUGGCGAACGGGUGAGUAACACGUGGGUAACCUGCCCAUCAGAGGGGGAUAACAUCCGGAAACGGGUGCUAAAACCGCAUAGGUCUUCGAACCGCAUGGUUUGAAGAGGAAAAGAGGCGUAAGCUUCUGCUGAUGGUUGGACCCGCGGUGCAUUAGCUAGUUGGUGAGGUAACGGCUCACCAAGGCCGUGAUGCAUAGCCGACCUGAGAGGGUGAUCGGCCACAUUGGGACUGAGACACGGCCCAAACUCCUACGGGAGGCAGCAGUAGGGAAUCUUCCGCAAUGGACGCAAGUCUGACGGAGCAACGCCGCGUGAGUGAAGAAGGUUUUCGGAUCGUAAAACUCUGUUGUUAGAGAAGAACAAGUGCUAGAGUAACUGUUAGCGCCUUGACGGUAUCUAACCAGAAAGCCACGGCUAACUACGUG